UACCAGCGGGCCUAGCAUGACCGCCAUAGAAACAGCUUUUGUCUACCGAAGAAUCGACAAAAUGACAGAUUGAAGAAAGAUUUCUAUCGAUCCGAGCAUGGCGAUGUUUGACAUCGAGAAAAGAAAUGUUUCUUUUCUUCGUCGACAUGUGUCUAUCGCGUCGAGCAUGACGACUAUAUUUUCUCUACUUUUGACAUUUGGGAGUAGAUAUAACUUUCUAUAUGAAAUGUCAAAUACUCUACAUCUCAUCGGACCUAGACAAGAGUAGACAAGAAUAUUAUUAUAAUUUUAAGAUCUCAAAAAGCAUUUACAAAGUAUUUCGGGGUCCUACCGUCGUCAUGUGGUCAGUUUUUAUGCUGAGAAGAAUCAGUGUAAAGCUCAAAGAACGAGCUAUACGAGUGUUAAGCCUCUCGACAUUGAAAACGUAAAUGUGCAGAGAUGGUGCAGUAUUUGUGCCAGGAAUCUGUCUCCUAGGAUAUCUCAGGGUCUGCCUGUUCAUAUCAAUGUUCUUUGUUCGGGUCCUGCUUAGGUCAUUAACAACAUUACUAACCACUGUUAGCAAAUUUUUUAAGCAAUUUGUUUGGCAGUGAAUACAAGGGUGCCUAUGCUACAACUCUUCCCGAAGAAAGGCAGAGAGAGAGACACACAAAUGACCUUAGCGGUAGCUUACUACAAGCUGCAACUCACAGAAGAGCAACUAUUAUGAAUAUCUUUGUAUAUUAACAGUUCUUCAAACCAUACAGACAGAAUUGAGUUGCUGGGGAGUUAGUUCCACCGCUUCUGCUGCUGAUUUUCAGCCUAUUUUGAAUAAAUGACUUUAUCUGUAGCCUUAAUUUUAUGUAAAUAAACCUUUACCUCUGUGUAAAUGAUUGUCUCAUUUUAUUUUUUAUCUUAAGAGUUG
Molecule: long non-coding RNA, 901 nt
Organism: Helicoverpa armigera (cotton bollworm)
Lineage: Eukaryota; Metazoa; Arthropoda; Insecta; Lepidoptera; Noctuidae
Exons: 3
Source: RefSeq, a predicted model, not a curated record